Pezoporus occidentalis (night parrot) is the source of this 1443-nucleotide long non-coding RNA. RefSeq lists it as uncharacterized. The record is from RefSeq and is a predicted model, not a curated record. The transcript has 4 exons. NCBI's taxonomy places the organism in Eukaryota, Metazoa, Chordata, Aves, Psittaciformes, Psittacidae.
GACACUGCUCACACGUAUCUGCUCUUCUCACCAUGCGCAGAUGGUUAAUGUGGAUGCUGAAGGAGAUUUAACUCCUUACCUAACCACUGCUGUCUUCCCAUGCCCCACUCUGCCAGCCAAAUGAAUAGGCCGAUUUUCAUCCCUACCCACCUUUAAUAAUAUUGAUUACUGUUAUUCUGCUCCUCAGUGGCUGACUGAAUAUUCUCCCUGCGUCCAGCUGCUUUCAACAGGACUGACGUGACUUCCGAGUCAAACAGAGAGACACAGCAAAGUCCUGACCCCACUGAAGUGGAAGUGAACAGUACUUGGAACCAGUGGAACAAGGAUUUCUCUCCCUGAAAUAGUUUGUGAGAUCUGGCAGCAACGUUUCCCAUCAGAUAGCAACUAUGAGAUCUUUGAUACUUUAUAUAACUGCCAUCCUUAAAUAAAACAUAUAUCUAGUUCAUCAUUUUUUCCCUGAUUUAAUUAGAAUCUUACUUAGUUUUUUCAGGUUGGUGAAGUCUUAUCUCGCAAUCUGUUGCAGAUGCCACUGUGUGGAGAUUAACGUUUGCUUUUUAAUUAAAGUUUUACUUGGGAAGUUUGUGAUACCCCCACACCAGCAUUUAAGACCAAGAAAAUAACUGUAUAUUGUUCUUAAAAUGAGCAGCCAUUGCAUAAUAUGAAACACUCAUAUUCAAAGUAUCACCAAAAAUUACUGUGUGGUUUUAAUUUCUCUGUGAGAUUUUGGGCUUGUUUUUAAAGAUCCUCCAUCAGAACUUUGCAUUUUCCCAGACAGCAGUUUUAUAUUUCUUAACUUUAGAUGGUUGAGGAGUCAGCAUGUUCUUUUGCACUGGUUCCCAACCAACAUUAGAAAGCAGUGUUCAGCUGAGCACUUACACGCUAAGCAGCUGGUUGCCACCAGAGCACGAUUUCUGCAGGCGGUGCAGGGAUGGGAAGGAAACAGCCACAGCUCAAGAAGGUGGUGAAGAGAAAUUGGGAGGUUAAGCAGGGCCAUAGGAACAGCAGCACUGUGGAAAGGUUCCAGGAAACUGCCACAGGAGUCUGGGGCAAAGAUGGAGGAGUUCCAGCAGUGCUGGGGCAGUACCUACGUCUGGGAAAGAGCAUAACCUGUGCGCCAGAUGUGCUAUGUAAAAACUUCUGCCUGCCCUUCAGCCCCAGCGUGUGUGCCUCACGGGGUCUAACCCAUCUCCACCCCAAAUGAGGAACAUAUGGAGCACCAUGAAUGGCAGAAACAAGACUUCACUUUGAACUACAUUCCUCCUAUCAAAGGGCCCUCUGUCUUGCCUUCUUCUUCUCUGUUCCCCUGGGUAAUCAUGAGGAAAGGACUGAACAUUUGGAAAAGCCUCCUGGGGAUGAAUUCAUUUCUAGUGUAACUCUGCUGAAGUUAAUGGUGUUGCACCAUAGAUUAAAAUGGCACCAUAAUAUUAAAAACCAGAGAAGGCA